GCCCUAGUAGCUUAACUUCAAAGCAUUGGUCUUGUAAACCAAAGACUGAAAACUGACAAUCUUCUUAGAGCU
RNAcentral lists this transfer RNA (72 nucleotides) under Anomaloglossus degranvillei (Degranville's rocket frog). Its description in RNAcentral is "tRNA-Thr". It matches the Rfam family "tRNA". From Rfam's summary of the family: Transfer RNA (tRNA) molecules are approximately 80 nucleotides in length. RNAcentral also lists the same sequence under 1 other name. The record is from RNAcentral. Lineage: Eukaryota; Metazoa; Chordata; Amphibia; Anura; Aromobatidae.